Molecule: ribosomal RNA, 497 nt
Filed under: uncultured bacterium
Lineage: Bacteria
Description: partial 16S ribosomal RNA
Rfam family: Bacterial small subunit ribosomal RNA
Source: RNAcentral
GAUGAACGCUGGCGGCGUGCCUAAUACAUGCAAGUCGAGCGAACAGAUGAGGAGCUUGCUCCUCUGACGUUAGCGGCGGACGGGUGAGUAACACGUGGAUAACCUACCUAUAAGACUGGGAUAACUUCGGGAAACCGGAGCUAAUACCGGAUAAUAUAUUGAACCGCAUGGUUCAAUAGUGAAAGACGGUUUUGCUGUCACUUAUAGAUGGAUCCGCGCCGCAUUAGCUAGUUGGUAAGGUAACGGCUUACCAAGGCAACGAUGCGUAGCCGACCUGAGAGGGUGAUCGGCCACCCUGGAACUGGAAACAGGGCCAGACUCCUACGGGAAGCAGCAGGAGGGAAUCUUCCGCAAUGGGCGGAAGCCUGACGGAACAACGCCGGGGGAGUGAUAGAGGUCUUCGGAUCGUAAAACUCUGUUAUUAGGGAAGAACAAAUGUGUAAGUAACUAUGCACGUCUUGACGGUACCUAAUCAGAAAGGCACGGCUAACUACGUG